RNAcentral lists this ribosomal RNA (253 nucleotides) under uncultured bacterium. Its description in RNAcentral is "partial 16S ribosomal RNA". It matches the Rfam family "Bacterial small subunit ribosomal RNA", at positions 524 to 776 of the family's 1533-position model. The record is from RNAcentral.
UACAGAGGUCUCAAGCGUUGUUCGGAUUCAUUGGGCGUAAAGGGUGCGUAGGCGGCGCGGUAAGUCGGGUGUGAAAUCUCGGAGCUUAACUCCGAAACUGCAUUCGAUACUGCCGUGCUUGAGGACUGGAGAGGAGACUGGAAUUUACGGUGUAGCGGUGAAAUGCGUAGAUAUCAGGAGGAACACCGGUGGCGAAGGCGCUCAUCUGGCCCAAUACUGACGCUGAGGCGCGAAAGCUAGGGGAGCAAACGGG